This 23-nucleotide non-coding RNA is filed under the name Arabidopsis thaliana (thale cress). Lineage: Eukaryota; Viridiplantae; Streptophyta; Magnoliopsida; Brassicales; Brassicaceae. The record is from RNAcentral.
UCAUUCUACAAUAAAUUAUGGUU